ACUCCUACGGGAGGCAGCAGUAGGGAAUCUUCCACAAUGGGCGCAAGCCUGAUGGAGCAACACCGCGUGAGUGAAGAAGGGUUUCGGCUCGUAAAGCUCUGUUGUUAAAGAAGAACACGUAUGAGAGUAACUGUUCAUACGUUGACGGUAUUUAACCAGAAAGUCACGGCUAACUACGUGCCAACAGCCGCGGUAAUACGUAGGUGGUAAGCGUUAUCCGGAUUUAUUGGGGCGUAAAGAGAGUGCAGGCGGUUUUCUAAGUCUGAUGUGAAAGCCUUCGGCUUAACCGGAGAAGUGCAUCGGAAACUGGAUAACUUGAGUGCAGAAGAGGGUAGUGGAACUCCAUGUGUAGCGGUGGAAUGCGUAGAUAUAUGGAAGAACACCAGUGGCGAAGGCGGCUACCUGGUCUGCAACUGACGCUGAGACUCGAAAGCAUGGGUAGCGAACAGGAUUAGAUACCCUGGUAGGAUAGCG
RNAcentral lists this ribosomal RNA (474 nucleotides) under uncultured bacterium. RNAcentral's name for it is "bacterial SSU rRNA". It matches the Rfam family "Bacterial small subunit ribosomal RNA", at positions 335 to 801 of the family's 1533-position model. The record is from RNAcentral.